GCCAGCAGACAAUGCGUCGUUUCUCGUUCACACGCGUGUCGGCAUUGCACAGCAAGCAGCGGCACCAUG
RNAcentral lists this small nucleolar RNA (69 nucleotides) under Trypanosoma cruzi. RNAcentral describes it as "C/D small nucleolar RNA (snoRNA)". Lineage: Eukaryota; Euglenozoa; Kinetoplastea; Trypanosomatida; Trypanosomatidae. The record is from RNAcentral.